GGUUUAGAGGAUCUACUAAUUGAAAUGGAUCGGAUACUAAGGCCAGAAGGGCUUGUCAUCAUAAGGGACAAACCCUCAAUUAUAAACUAUAUCCGCAAAUUUGUGACUGCCUUAAGGUGGGAUCACUGGAUAUCAGAAGUUGAACCAAGGAGUGAUACUCUCUCCUCAGGUGAAGAACAAGUUUUGAUUGUGAGAAAAAAGUUUUGGAGUGGGGAAGUUUCAACAAUGUGAAUAUGGCUCCGAGGGAAAGUCAGGACUCGUGCUCCAUUGC
RNAcentral lists this unclassified non-coding RNA (271 nucleotides) under Hevea brasiliensis (rubber tree). The record is from RNAcentral. Lineage: Eukaryota; Viridiplantae; Streptophyta; Magnoliopsida; Malpighiales; Euphorbiaceae.